GGCCCGAUGGCGCAAUGGUAGCGCGUCAGAUUCCAGUUAAAGGUGUCUCCUGAAGGUUAGGCGUUCAAAUCGCCUUCGGGUCA
RNAcentral lists this transfer RNA (83 nucleotides) under Didymella pomorum. RNAcentral describes it as "Peyronellaea pomorum tRNA". It matches the Rfam family "tRNA". From Rfam's summary of the family: Transfer RNA (tRNA) molecules are approximately 80 nucleotides in length. Their secondary structure includes four short double-helical elements and three loops (D, anti-codon, and T loops). Further hydrogen bonds mediate the characteristic L-shaped molecular structure. tRNAs have two regions of fundamental functional importance: the anti-codon, which is responsible for specific mRNA codon recognition, and the 3' end, to which the tRNAs corresponding amino acid is attached (by aminoacyl-tRNA synthetases). tRNAs cope with the degeneracy of the genetic code in two manners: having more than one tRNA (with a specific anti-codon) for a particular amino acid; and 'wobble' base-pairing, i.e. permitting non-standard base-pairing at the 3rd anti-codon position. Lineage: Eukaryota; Fungi; Ascomycota; Dothideomycetes; Pleosporales; Didymellaceae. The record is from Rfam by way of RNAcentral.